RNAcentral lists this long non-coding RNA (2407 nucleotides) under Pelobates cultripes (western spadefoot toad). The record is from RNAcentral. Lineage: Eukaryota; Metazoa; Chordata; Amphibia; Anura; Pelobatidae.
CACAUCCUUGGCUGCAUUGCAUCGGAACAGCUCACAGACCUGAAAGGUUAGUUUGUGUUUCUAAGGAGACAGAAAACUUUCACUGUUGACAUUACACCUGGCUGGACUAUUUAACUUGGGAAAGGGACAUCUCCAUUCACUCUUCUGUUUCAUUCCAGCACACACACACACACACACACACAGAGGCUGUCUGAGCACAUUACUGCAAUGGGUUGCAACGCUAGCAAAAGCACAACCGCUGUUGAACCUUCUCAGAAGCCGGGAGACCCUGAGAAGAAAGAUGACGAAAAGCAUGAAAAUGAGAGCGAAGCAGCAAUGGAAAGUGCUCAACAUUCGGCGGAAAAAGAAAAUUCAGAUAAUAAGAAGAGCUGAAACUUUACAUUACGCUCGAAAAAAGUCAAGAAAAUCAAGUUUAUUUAUUCUCUUUGAUCUGCUGAAAAACUGCGAUUUCACCACUUUAGAAUUUACCCAAUGGAAAACAAGAAAUUUCAUUAUAAUUUGUGAAGCUGCAAAGGACAGAGGCUGAAACAUCUUGAUGGCACGCAUCACUUACAACAACAAUUCUUCUUCAGGAUCAAACUGCUGGGGUGGACUGUCUUCCAUGGUAGAACUGUCCGAGGACCAACAUGGAAGCAGAAACAUCUAAUGAACAUUAUCUACCAAGUGCAAAUAUACUUAAUGCAUGAUCAGCACUGAUCUUCUACAACAUGGUCAUCAUAGUCUUCUAGAUACGUCAUCAGACAUUGGAUAGAUGCAAAACUUUGUUAUUAUAAAAGACUAUCCUCUGGACUUAAGUGCAAUGAAUAUACAUGAGCACGUUAAGUAUAUCAAGGGAAAAUGAGUAUGUAAGAAAAUACGCUGUCUGCAUCCGUGAUAUGGUUCAUUUAACAAAUAGAUCAUGUAGAGGGAUACUGUUGUUUGUGGGGUGGAAAUUAAUUUAGACUUUUAUUGCUUUAUACAAAUAUUACCUUUUGGAUAACCAAUUUCAGAAAAAGCAAAAAAAUUAGCCAAGCUACAUUUAAAAUAAUCUGUCUUUUAUCUUUAAGCUUUUUUUACAUUUAUAAAUGCAUGCUGGGGAGGGGGGAGGUGGGGAGGUGUUUAUCAAAGUGUUCUGUUCUAAAAAGUGACAAUGAGAAUGUAAAAGGGGAGGAGUCACCAUGGAGUUUGCAUGCUGAUUCUACAGGUUUCCAUGGUGAUUGCCCUGCUUUUAGCACAUAAGACUACUUUUUGGAAUAGAACACUUUGAUAAAUAUACCCCAUUAAAGAUUAAAUUAUUUGUCAAAACCAGUGAUAUUGGAAAUAGAACAGUAGUAUUCCAAAGCUUUAUUAUGUUAUUAUAGACUCGUUAUUCUAAACAGUUGCACAGUUUGUCUUCAGUAGGCUGAUUAAUAUAAAUUGCAAGCUCAGAGAACAAGUUUAGAUUCUCACAAAUGUCAACUUUAAAAUAUUAUUUCUUAAACCAAAAUGCAUCAUUAUUUUCCAUGGUUUACCGAAAACAUGAUAAUUCUAUAUGGGUGAAAUACUCAGUUUUUCUCUUUUUCGUUUAUUGUGUGUCUAGCAUGGAUUAUUGAUUUACCAAAAAAUGCACCCAAUUCAUUACAUCAUUAAUGUCCGUUAUACAUUUUUUGUUUAUUUUUGUGCAAAUAUUAGUCUUAGCAGAAAUAAGAAAUAUUUUACAAUCUGAGUUAUAAAAGCUAUAGAACUAAGCGAAACCUGCAAUUAAAUAGGGGUAGAAACACACGCACACAUUUUUUUUAGCAUUUUAAUGUUAAUUUUAAUGUUUUUUUUUUUAUAAAUCUCAGGAAUUAUGCAUCAAGCAGGGGGAACUCACUGCAAUACAUACCUGGGUGCUAUUGCUAUAUUAAUUGUGAGAGCACUGAAAUGUUCUCUGCUAAUGUUUUAUUAAAGAAUGUGAAACUUUAAAAAAAAAACUUUUUUAUUUACUUUUUUUUUACAUUCAAAGUUUUGAAUCCUGUGAACCACACUAUUUGAUAUGGUUUAUCUACCAGAGCGGAACAAAGUAAAACUGUGUGAAACUAAAUAUGCAUACUGUGAUUCUUUAUAGUUACAAACAUAUGAUCCAGGCUUCCCCAAACUCGGCCCUCCAGAUGUUGCUGAACUACAACUCCCAUGAUUCUAGGAAUGAAAAAGAUAGGUUGAGAAUCAUGGGAGUUGUAGUUCAGCAACAUCUGGAGGGCCAGAGUUUGGGGAAGCCUGAGUAUGAUCAAUUGUUGCCAUUGAGCAAUACCAACUGGAGCAAAAAACACUAAGUAAGUGAUUGUAAAUAUAUACAAAAUAAUAAUGUCCAAGUACAGAUCCCUGAGGUACCCCACUGGUGACAAGCCCAAGCUUCGAAUAUACUCCAUUGACUACAACCCUCUGUUGCCUGUCACUCAGGCACUGCAUU